Molecule: long non-coding RNA, 2475 nt
Filed under: Carassius auratus (goldfish)
Lineage: Eukaryota; Metazoa; Chordata; Actinopteri; Cypriniformes; Cyprinidae
Description: lncRNA (ENSCARG00000023711.1)
Source: RNAcentral
AUGGAAGGACGGAUUGUAUUACUGUACAAAAAAAAUAUAACCAGAUGCACAGCACAUCAAAACCAGAUCCCUGGGGAAUGGAAAACGUUUGCGGCUGAAGCAGUAAACUACUCGCAGAGGAACAUUGUUUUGGUAGUUUUGGUUCCACUAUUCUGCACGGAUGAAUCUGUCACCACUGCUAAUGUUUCCAGACACCAAAACUCUCCAAAAUAAUCAAAGAAGGAAGAAAAUGAAAGAUUCUGAAAAUUGUUUGAUGAGCUGGUAAGUAGCUUAUUUUCCGUUGUUGUUUAGACCCACUGAAAUCAGUUUGUUACAAAACUUUGGCAACACUUACAUUAAACAGAAAGAUUACUAUUCAUAUCAGAUAAUGUGUGAACUAUUUGAUUCCAAAACUCUUUAUAGGCAAACAGACCAAUGUAGUUACUGGUUUAGAGAAUGACACUGUCACCAACAAACACAUUGUUUUGUAACCUAGUCAGUGCAUGGCAAAUGUGAUGCUAUGUAAACUGUGUUGAUUCAUGUUUUAUUACAGGUGCCGUCGCUUAUACUUUUUGCUUUCUAACCCUUCUCGGUUCCAGGUUCAUUCCACUGCAUAAAAUAAUCUGUCUGUCUUUCUUUUCUUUUCUUUAUUUACGACUGCCGAAUGAUUAAAGUGCAUUAUGUAGUUUCCCAGGAAAUCCAUCAGACAACUAAGGCAAAAAGGGGGGAGGGGGACAAAAACAAAAGGUUAUUAUUUAAAUUCUGUGAAUUUCGUCUAAAAAAAAACAAAGUAGUUCACUUUCAGAACAAACAUUUACAGAUAAUGUAGUCAACCCCCUUUUCAAUAAUAAAAUGUUCAUGUCUUUCUUCAGUCAUAAAUAUAUAUAUAUAUAUAUAUAUAUAUAUAUAUAUAUAUAUAUAUAUAUAUAUAUAUAUAUAUAUAUAUAUUAGCAAAAAUUAUAUAUAUAAUGGACUUCUAUGGUGCCCCCUGAGUCUGAACUUCCAAAAUGAAGUUUAAAUGCAACUUCAAAGGGAUUUUAGAUUUUAGAGUCCUUUGAAGCUGCAUUUUGGAAGUUCAAACCCACCGGGCACCAAGAAGUCCAUUAUACAGAAAGAAAUAUUUUCCUCGAAAAACUGAAGAAAGAAAGACAUGAACAUCUUGGAUGACAAGUUGGUGAGUACAUUAUCUGGAAGUGAACUACUCCUCUACUCUAAUUUCUUUAUUUCUCCUCAGGAAUGAACAUCUGUGCCAUCUAGAAGAAACAUUUGAGACAUUGUUGACUUUUAAAUGGGCUCUCCAUUAUGUCACCUGAGCUACAAAACAAAGCUCUUGUCAUGAUUACAAGGGAAUACUGACAUUUACACCAGGUACGCACUAACACACCCUAAUGCUGAGGAUGCUGGAAAAUGUUCUCAUUCUGCAUGAACAAAGUGGUGUUCUUUACAGAGUUCUGGGCUUUCCGCCCAUGUUUUUGAUCCACUUGGAUUUAAGGCAUUCUGACAACAUGGAACAUUUGUGAGAUUACUGUAGGGAGUGAUUCUGUUCCGGCUGGCGGAAGGAUUCAAGUUCAGCUGGUUCCCCUUCAAGUCAGGCAUUAUUACAGACAUCCUGCGGAGGAAGAAGGGCUUUCUAGAACGGACCGUUUCCAGGUUCUCAUGCAGUCACAACAGAGAGCUCACAAACUCCAUUUCACUUAGAGAGCCAUGUGAUGUCAAAUAAAUGUACUGGAUUUAAUAAAUGUUCACUUUUAAUUGCAUCUUUCCCAAAGGCCAAGCAUAACUUCAUUCAAGUGUCCUCUAAAAGGCUUUAAAGUGUACAGUGAAAUGCCAUCAGAGCAGAAAUGACCUUUUAAGGCUUUCUAGGUCUUGGUUAAUGCCUCUUUCUUGUUGGUCUGGCAAAUAAGCCUCAUUUUUCGCUGUUUAGUCACCUAGACUGUUUGAAAAAUCUGCCAGACAUCUGGAAUUGGUCACUAUACAUGUCAGCUUGGCUAAGUCACAUCUUGAAGGUGGUCAUCUAAGUCAAUUUGGGUCAUGCAUACCUGUCACAGCUGAUAAAUGAAGAUUAUAAGACCUAAUCAUAUCAGGCCAGUUGGUGCACAAGGACUUAAGUUACCUGCUGGGAGAAGCUGCUGUUACUGAACAUGAAGUCUCAUGAGGCUGUAUAUUAAAGUGAUAUUUACAAUGGUACAGUCAUAAAAUCACUGUAACCCACAGAUUAGUUUUUUUAUGCACUUCCGUUAAAAAUGUUUAGGCUCAGUUACUUCUUUGUGUGUGUGUUUUUUGGAAAGAAGUAUGCUCACCAAGGCUGCAUUUAUUUGAUCAAAAGUAAAAACAAAAAAAGAACAGUUUCUAUUUGAAAAUGUAAUUUAUUUUUGCGAUUCAAUGUAGUGUGUAUUUAUUUUAUUUAUUUACAUAUCUUAGAAGUAUUCAAUCUAAUUGCUUACUUAAAAAAUAUUUAGAUAUCAGACUGACUUUUGGUUUUCGAGUUUGAAUUAU